Molecule: ribosomal RNA, 254 nt
Filed under: uncultured bacterium
Lineage: Bacteria
Description: partial 16S ribosomal RNA
Rfam family: Bacterial small subunit ribosomal RNA
Source: RNAcentral
UACGUAGGGGGCAAGCGUUGUCCGGAAUCAUUGGGCGUAAAGGGCGCGUAGGCGGCCACCGCAAGUCGAUUGUGAAAUCUCCGGGCUUAACCCGGAAAGGUCAACCGAUACUGCGGGGCUAGAGUGCAGAAGGGGCAACUGGAAUUCUCGGUGUAGCGGUGAAAUGCGUAGAUAUCGAGAGGAACACCUGCGGCGAAGGCGGGUUGCUGGGCCGACACUGACGCUGAUGCGCGAAAGCCAGGGGAGCGAACGGG